GUUGACUCCGUCACAGAACACGGUGUGGAGAGCUGUGGAGGGGAGGAACUGACCCUAUACACUGCGGUGAGCCCCCCAGGUGGCGUGGUUGUGUCUAGCAGAGGGGAGAAUCUGACAGUGUGCUGGUCCGCCCCGUCAGGUGAACGGCCUGAUGGGUACUAUGUCAGGCUACGCCCCGUCAGCCAGGCCCGUCCCAGGGAACUGUGGGUAAAUGAGUCCAGGUGCGUGUUCCUGGCCAUGUUCAGUCCAGGUCAGAACUACGAGUUAGGUGUGGCUUCAGUGAGAGGAGGGAACAAGAGCCAAGAGAUCAACACCACGUACACCACAGAGCCAGGGCCCGUGCAGGCAGCUGUCCCUCUCUCGGUAGGAAGCAGUUCUGUGGUUCUGUAUGUCCAGAGACCAGUACUGGGUGUGUGUGACGGAGUGAGGGUGUGUGUGUGUGAGGGAGUGUGUGAGGGUGUGUGUGUGUGUAAGGGUGUGUGUGAUUGGUCGCCAUUCCCCCCUGGUAAGCACACAGUAACAGUUGGCAGCCUGACUCCAGGGGAGGAGUACCAUCUUAGUGUCUACAGCACCAGCCGGCACAGGACCGGACCACCAUACCAAA
Molecule: long non-coding RNA, 604 nt
Organism: Coregonus clupeaformis (lake whitefish)
Lineage: Eukaryota; Metazoa; Chordata; Actinopteri; Salmoniformes; Salmonidae
Exons: 3
Source: RefSeq, a predicted model, not a curated record